UACAGAGGGGGCAAGCGUUGUUCGGAAUUACUGGGCGUAAAGGGCGCGUAGGCGGCCUACUAAGUCGAACGUGAAAUCCCCGGGCUCAACCCGGGAACUGCGUCCGAUACUGGUGGGCUUGAAUUCGGGAGAGGGAUGUGGAAUUCCAGGUGUAGCGGUGAAAUGCGUAGAUAUCAGGAGGAACACCGAUGGCGAAGGCAGGUCUCUGGGCCGAUACUGACGCUGAGGAGCGAAAGCGUGGGGAGCGAACAGG
RNAcentral lists this ribosomal RNA (253 nucleotides) under uncultured bacterium. Its description in RNAcentral is "partial 16S ribosomal RNA". It matches the Rfam family "Bacterial small subunit ribosomal RNA", at positions 524 to 776 of the family's 1533-position model. The record is from RNAcentral.